UCAACAAUACUUUGGAAGGAAACAGACAAGGAAUCAUUUAUUCAUUCGUUCUUAUGUUCCUAGUCAUAGUUCAUCUCAACGAUAUUUCCAUUUCCAAUUAGAAAUAAUUUUUAAAAAAAUUUCCAUUGUUGUAUUAAAUGAUUUUUUAAGAAUCUUCAUUGAUUGAAAAUAUCUUCAAUUAAUUUUAAGAAAAAAAUUUAUCGCAACAUGGAUGCCAUAAUUGCUAGAAAUAUAAUCGAAUUAGCUGGAGCUAUGAUGGAAGAAUUCGAAACAACAUGGAACAACAUAAAUAAAAAAGAAAUUAACCAACUCAAUUAUCAUACAAUAAAAUUACAUUUGUCGCAUAUAAAAGAACAACGAGAUUUGCUUAUCAAUGCUAAUACAUUCAAUUCUUAUCAUUUUCCAAAUCUUCUCGUUAUAAGAAAGAACUUCAUGCAAAAAUAUAUUCCAAUUGUGGCUGCAGCAGACUUGUACAUGAUACAGUACAAAAACUUCGACAUAGAGUAAAAAUAAAAUCUUGAUAAUAAUAAAAGUAACAAUUCUUUAAAAUUAAAAAAUAGUUAAAUUUCAUUUUUUUUUUUUUUAUUAUUAAAUUUAGAGAUUCAUUUCUUCUUAAAGAUGUUAUGAAAAAUAUUAAAUUGCUCGAAAAAUAUUUUCGUUUUAUUAAAAUCGUUUCAUCAUUUUAUUCAUUUUUACAUGUACAUAUAUUAAUUUAUAACUUUUUUAUAUAUUUUUACUUCGAUUCUUGCGUUAGAUUAAUAGCACAUGAUUUUAUUAUUUGCUCUCUUUUUAAUUUUGUUAUAUAGAUAUAUUUUACAUAUAAAAAUAAAAACUAAAAUACAAAUCUACAGAUAUAAAAUUUUGUCAUUACACAUAGAAUAGAACUAUAAAACAAUAUUGUUUUCAACGUAUGUACUUUAUCUAAGUUAAAAUAAAAUCCUUUAAAAUUUUUAA
Molecule: long non-coding RNA, 954 nt
Filed under: Apis florea (little honeybee)
Lineage: Eukaryota; Metazoa; Arthropoda; Insecta; Hymenoptera; Apidae
Description: uncharacterized LOC116414995, transcript variant X2
Source: RNAcentral